AACGCACAUUGCGCCUCCUGGUAUUCCGGGAGGCAUGCCUGUUCGAGCGUCAUUAAAAACCACUCAAGCUCUUUUGCUUGGUCAUGGAAGAUGAGUGCGCAUAGCGUCCUCCCUUUCGAAAUACAAUGGCGGAAAGCUCCAUGUGCCCCGGCGUAGUAAGUUUUUCUUUCGCUUGGAACAUGAGGUGAUCCUGCCACAAACCCCCAAUUUUUCUAGGUUGACCUCGGAUCAGGUAGGGAUACCCGCUGAACUUAA
This 255-nucleotide unclassified non-coding RNA is filed under the name Cheilymenia sp. RNAcentral describes it as "partial contains 5.8S ribosomal RNA, internal transcribed spacer 2, and large subunit ribosomal RNA". The stretch from base 1 to 52 matches the Rfam family "5.8S ribosomal RNA", at positions 103 to 154 of the family's 154-position model. The record is from RNAcentral. Lineage: Eukaryota; Fungi; Ascomycota; Pezizomycetes; Pezizales; Pyronemataceae. RNAcentral also lists the same sequence under 3 other names.